AAGGAUCAUUACUGAGUGAGGGCCCUCUGGGUCCAACCUCCCACCCGUGUUUAUUGUACCUUGUUGCUUCGGUGCGCCCGCCUCACGGCCGCCGGGGGGCUUCUGCCCCCGGGUCCGCGCGCACCGGAGACACUAUUGAACUCUGUCUGAAGAUUGCAGUCUGAGCAUAAACUAAAUAAGUUAAAACUUUCAACAACGGAUCUCUUGGUUCCGGCAUCGAUGAAGAACGCAGCGAAAUGCGAUAACUAAUGUGAAUUGCAGAAUUCAGUGAAUCAUCGAGUCUUUGAACGCACAUUGCGCCCCCUGGUAUUCCGGGGGGCAUGCCUGUCCGAGCGUCAUUGCUGCCCUCAAGCACGGCUUGUGUGUUGGGCUCCGUCCCCCCGGGGACGGGUCCGAAAGGCAGCGGCGGCACCGAGUCCGGUCCUCGAGCGUAUGGGGCUUUGUCACCCGCUCUGUAGGCCCGGCCGGCGCCAGCCGACAACCAAUCAUCCUUUUUUCAGGUUGACCUCGGAUCAGGUAGGGAUACCCGCUGAACUUAA
This 539-nucleotide ribosomal RNA is filed under the name Penicillium glabrum. RNAcentral describes it as "eukaryotic LSU rRNA". The stretch from base 185 to 338 matches the Rfam family "5.8S ribosomal RNA". Lineage: Eukaryota; Fungi; Ascomycota; Eurotiomycetes; Eurotiales; Aspergillaceae. The record is from RNAcentral.